GGAGUAGGCCAGAUGAUCGCUGUCUGACACCGUCAGAGGGAGGAAAGUCCGGGCUCCGCAGGGCAGGGCGCUGGGUAAUCACCAGCGGGGGCGACCCCAGGGAAAGUGCCACAGAGAGAAGUCCGCCCGUUUCGACGGGUAAGGGUGAAAGGGUGAGGUAAGAGCUCACCGGGUUCGGUGGUGACAUCGGAUGCCAGGUAAACCCCGCCAGGAGCAAGGCCGAAUAGGGAGGCGUUAAGGGUGGCCCGCCCGUGCCUCCGGGUUGGCUGCUUGAGGUCAUCGGCAACGAUGAUCCUAGAGGAAUGAUCGUCACCUGUUGACAGGUAACUGACAACAGGAACAGAACCCGGCUUACGGCCUGCUCCAGCC
This 369-nucleotide RNase P RNA is filed under the name Trichlorobacter sp. Its description in RNAcentral is "RNase P RNA component class A". It matches the Rfam family "Bacterial RNase P class A". Rfam says of the family: Ribonuclease P (RNase P) is a ubiquitous endoribonuclease, found in archaea, bacteria and eukarya as well as chloroplasts and mitochondria. Its best characterised activity is the generation of mature 5'-ends of tRNAs by cleaving the 5'-leader elements of precursor-tRNAs. The record is from RNAcentral. Lineage: Bacteria; Pseudomonadati; Thermodesulfobacteriota; Desulfuromonadia; Geobacterales; Geobacteraceae.